This 661-nucleotide long non-coding RNA is filed under the name Meriones unguiculatus (Mongolian gerbil). Its description in RNAcentral is "lncRNA (ENSMUGG00000009366.1)". Lineage: Eukaryota; Metazoa; Chordata; Mammalia; Rodentia; Muridae. The record is from RNAcentral.
GCGCACACCUCCCGCAGCGCAGGGAUCUUGGGGGGUGGGGGGAGAGGCCUGGGUCGCAUCCCAUAGGAUCCGCGGAGUCUUCGAGUGGGGCGCCCGGCUCGCCCCGCCUUGGCUGGCUCCUCUUCGCGGCUCCCAAGGCUCAGGGACGGGAGUCUCCCUCGCACCCCGGCCUGGCUCUUGGCGCCUCGGCCGGGCCGCAGAGCUCCGUGGGGGCCCCCCGCGCGAGGGCCCUCCGAGUGGUUCCGGGGUUAGGGUUCACAGGUCAGAGUUGACUCCCUGAAAAGUGCAGUCGCUCUGAAAUGCAAGAUGGCGGCAGCGAGGCGCUGAGGCGCGGCGGGCCCUGCAGGAGAAGACUGCUAGCUACUCUGGGACAAUUUGUGAUAAUGGCCUGAGCCAAGGACCUCAUUGGAAGGGGUAACCUUCUGCUUUAAUGAACAGAGAGCUGAGGAAGAAUGGCAGGUGAUUGGAGUUGUGCUUCAUACAUUUCAGCAGUUCAGCAAUGUUUUAUCUGCCAACUAAGCUUUUCACUUGAGUGCGCCAUGGAAACACUACUAAUGAGACUUGUUGAGCACAAAAGUGGACUCGAAGAGCCAGAAGCCACUGUUUUCAAAUGAAGGAUUCCAAACAGUUUUAAGCCUCAGUGCGUUUAAAUCAACACUGA